This 1414-nucleotide long non-coding RNA is filed under the name Oryctolagus cuniculus (rabbit). Its description in RNAcentral is "lncRNA (ENSOCUG00000030447.1)". Lineage: Eukaryota; Metazoa; Chordata; Mammalia; Lagomorpha; Leporidae. The record is from RNAcentral.
GGCCGCGGCUGCCUCUCCAGUGCGGGCUUGUCUCCGAGCUGCUCCACUCGUGGACACCUCUGCCUGGAUUCCUGCCCCCCUCCCCCCGCGCUCCACCUCCACAUGUGUGAACUUGAAUGCAGUCUGAACCUGGCCUCCUCCCUUCUUAUCUCAGCGAGCAGCUCCUCAGGUGCCUGUCAGGAACCUGGGCGGGAUUCCUGCCUCCUUCUUGCUCACCCCCCACCCUCGGGUCAGCCCCUGCUGCCCUUUCCUGCGCCCCCACACUAGCGCGGGAGGCGGCGGCUGUCACAGUGGUCGGUGGGCGCCCCUUCCUCCAAGCUGCCCUCCACCCCGCCUCUGAGGAUGAGGGGCACCUUCUGUCCAUCUCCGCUCACCUGUCACUGCCGGCUGUCGAGGGCCACUGUUCUCCGUGUGAAUGGAUAGAGCUGGCUGAUUUCACACAUGGGGUCUCCAUCAAGGAAAGGUGCAGAUGUGUGAGCCACAGAGAAUUGGUGAUACACAGAUCAAUACCUUCUGAACUACAAAGGACCUCAAGCUCAUCUCCUUCAACCCUGACCCACGGCAAGAAUCUCCUCUUCCAUCUCUGUUUUGCCCCACCGUCCGUCUCCCCUGGAUCCGUGGAUUAGCAUAUUAGAAUAUUCUCCCCACUGGGAGGAACAGGGCUGAGGAGGGAGCGCCCCAACACCAGCGCAAGCCGGGGUCCCCUCGUCGUGGGCUCUGUCUUCCUGUGGACCAACGCCUGGCUGAUGGGUUCACGGCGCCUCUGAUGCACGGGCUGUUCUUGCUCAUAAGGAUGGACCGACGUCAGCUGACCUGCAUGUUCCUUCUCAGGUCUAGGGGGUGCGGGGUGGGGGCGGUCAUGGUGUGGCCUUCCCCAGCCCCUUUGCUGCUGGGCAGGCAGGGCCAGAGGUGGAGAUGAUUACCUGGGGCCCACCAGAGGGCGCUCCUUUCCCAGUGGCCGCCCCACACUCACUCCUGAGGCCCUGGCCUUCCCCAGGCCUCUCUCCCACUCACCCUCCUGACCCUCAGUCAGAGUAGGGCUCCACCUCCUACAGAUCCCAAAACAGAUCUUAGGGGAUCAGCACUGUGGUGUAGCCGGUAAACCCGCCAUGUGCAGGGCCGGCAACCCAUAGGAGCAUUGGUUCAAGUCCCGGCUGCUCCUCUUCUGAUCCAGCUCCCUGCUAAUGCACCUGGGAGAGCAGUAGAAGAUGGCCCCAGUCCUUGGGCCCCUGCACCCAUGUGAAGAGACCUGGAAGAAUCUCCUGGCUCCUGGCUUCAGAUUGGCCCAGCUCUGGUAGUUGCAGCCAUUUGGGGGAAUGAACCAGUGGAUGGAAGAUCUCUUUCUAUCUCUAUGUCUCCUCUCUGUGUAACUCUGUCAAAUAAAUAUUAAAAAAAAAAAAAAAAGCCCCCGACC